CAAUAGCGUAUAUUUAAGUUGUUGCAGUUAAAAAGCUCGUAGUCGGAUUUUGGCUGAGAACGAUCGGUCCGCCGUUAGGUGUGCACUGAUUGGUCUCAGCUUCCUGGUGAGGAGGUGUGCUUCACGGCCACUUAGUCACCGUGGUUACUUUGAAAAAAUUAGAGUGUUCAAAGCGGGCUUACGCUUGAAUAUAUUAGCAUGGAAUAACACCAUAGGACUCCUGUCCUAUUUCGUUGGUCUCGGGACGGGAGUAAUGAUUAAGAGGAACAGUUGGGGGCAUUCGUAUUUCAUUGUCAGAGGUGAAAUUCUUGGAUUUAUGAAAGACGAACUUCUGCGAAAGCAUGUGCCAAGGAUGUUUUCAUUGA
This 365-nucleotide ribosomal RNA is filed under the name uncultured eukaryote. RNAcentral's name for it is "partial 18S ribosomal RNA". It matches the Rfam family "Eukaryotic small subunit ribosomal RNA", at positions 592 to 976 of the family's 1831-position model. The record is from RNAcentral.